UAGCUUGCUACCUGACCUAGCGGCGGACGGGUGAGUAAUGCUUAGGAAUCUGCCUAUUAGUGGGGGACAACAUUCCGAAAGGAAUGCUAAUACCGCAUACGCCCUACGGGGGAAAGCAGGGGAUCUUCGGACCUUGCGCUAAUAGAUGAGCCUAAGUCAGAUUAGCUAGUUGGUGGGGUAAAGGCCUACCAAGGCGACGAUCUGUAGCGGGUCUGAGAGGAUGAUCCGCCACACUGGGACUGAGACACGGCCCAGACUCCUACGGGAGGCAGCAGUGGGGAAUAUUGGACAAUGGGCGAAAGCCUGAUCCAGCCAUGCCGCGUGUGUGAAGAAGGCCUUUUGGUUGUAAAGCACUUUAAGCGAGGAGGAGGCUACUUGGAUUAAUACUCUAGGAUAGUGGACGUUACUCGCAGAAUAAGCACCGGCUAACUCUGUGCCAGCAGCCGCGGUAAUACAGAGGGUGCGAGCGUUAAUCGGAUUUACUGGGCGUAAAGCGUGCGUAGGCGGCUUUUUAAGUCGGAUGUGAAAUCCCUGAGCUUAACUUAGGAAUUGCAUUCGAUACUGGGAAGCUAGAGUAUGGGAGAGGAUGGUAGAAUUCCAGGUGUAGCGGUGAAAUGCGUAGAGAUCUGGAGGAAUACCGAUGGCGAAGGCAGCCAUCUGGCCUAAUACUGACGCUGAGGUACGAAAGCAUGGGGAGCAAACAGGAUUAGAUACCCUGGUAGUCCAUGCCGUAAACGAUGUCUACUAGCCGUUGGGGCCUUUGAGGCUUUAGUGGCGCAGCUAACGCGAUAAGUAGACCGCCUGGGGAGUACGGUCGCAAGACUAAAACUCAAAUGAAUUGACGGGGGCCCGCACAAGCGGUGGAGCAUGUGGUUUAAUUCGAUGCAACGCGAAGAACCUUACCUGGUCUUGACAUAGUAAGAACUUUCCAGAGAUGGAUUGGUGCCUUCGGGAACUUACAUACAGGUGCUGCAUGGCUGUCGUCAGCUCGUGUCGUGAGAUGUUGGGUUAAGUCCCGCAACGAGCGCAACCCUUUUCCUUAUUUGCCAGCGGGUUAAGCCGGGAACUUUAAGGAUACUGCCAGUGACAAACUGGAGGAAGGCGGGGACGACGUCAAGUCAUCAUGGCCCUUACGACCAGGGCUACACACGUGCUACAAUGGUCGGUACAAAGGGUUGCUACCUAGCGAUAGGAUGCUAAUCUCAAAAAGCCGAUCGUAGUCCGGAUUGGGGUCUGCAACUCGACUCCAUGAAGUCG
RNAcentral lists this ribosomal RNA (1257 nucleotides) under uncultured Acinetobacter sp. Its description in RNAcentral is "bacterial SSU rRNA". It matches the Rfam family "Bacterial small subunit ribosomal RNA", at positions 76 to 1328 of the family's 1533-position model. Lineage: Bacteria; Pseudomonadati; Pseudomonadota; Gammaproteobacteria; Moraxellales; Moraxellaceae. The record is from RNAcentral.